GCACUCGCUUCGGCAGUGCAUGUAUUAAAAUGGGAACAAUACAGAGAAAAUUAGCAUGGCCCCUGUGAAAGGAAGACACGCGAAAGAAGUAUGGCUGAGGAUG
Small nuclear RNA from Peromyscus californicus insignis, 103 nucleotides. NCBI's taxonomy places the organism in Eukaryota, Metazoa, Chordata, Mammalia, Rodentia, Cricetidae. The record is from RefSeq and is a predicted model, not a curated record.